This 487-nucleotide ribosomal RNA is filed under the name uncultured bacterium. Its description in RNAcentral is "partial 16S ribosomal RNA". It matches the Rfam family "Bacterial small subunit ribosomal RNA", at positions 28 to 507 of the family's 1533-position model. The record is from RNAcentral.
GAUGAACGCUAGCGGUAGGCUUAACACAUGCAAGUCGAAGGGCAGCACAUGGUAGCUUGCUAUCUGGGUGGCGAACGGCGCACGGAUGCGUAACGCGUAUGCCACUUGCCCUAUACAUGAGGCUAACCCGUCGGAAGACGUACUAAUACUGCGUAUGCUCACAACUUGGCAUCUAGUGGAGAGGUAAGAGAUUCGGUAUAGGAUAGGCAUGCGUCCGAUUAGCUUGUUGGUGAGGUAACGGCUCACCAAGGCAGCGAAGGGUAGGGGAACUGAGAGGUUGAUCCCCCACACUGGUACUGAGAAACGGACCAGACUCAUACGGGAGGCAGCAGUGAGGAAUAUUGGUGAAUGGGCGCGAGCCUGAACCAGGCAAGCCGCGUGAAGGAUGACUGCCUUAUGGAUUGUAACCUUCUUUUAGUCGGGAAUAACCAGAGUCACCGGUGAGUCCCUGCAUGUAGCGUAUGAAUAAGCACCGGCUAACUACGUG